AACGAACGCUGGCGGCAUGCCUAACACAUGCAAGUCGAACGAGACCUUCGGGUCUAGUGGCGCACGGGUGCGUAACGCGUGGGAACCUGCCCUUAGGUUCGGAAUAACUCCCCGAAAGGGGUGCUAAUACCGGAUAAUGUCUUCGGACCAAAGAUUUAUCGCCUUUGGAUGGGCCCGCGUUGGAUUAGCUAGUUGGUAGGGUAAAAGCCUACCAAGGCGACGAUCCAUAGCUGGUCUGAGAGGAUGAUCAGCCACACUGGGACUGAGACACGGCCCAGACCUCCAAGGGAGGGCGGCGGGGGGAAUAUUGGACAAUGGGCGAAAGCCUGAUCCAGCCAUGCCGCGUGAGUGAUGAAGGCCUUAGGGUUGUAAAGCUCUUUUACCCGGGAUGAUAAUGACAGUACCGGGAGAAUAAGCUCCGGCUAACUCCGUG
This 433-nucleotide ribosomal RNA is filed under the name uncultured bacterium. RNAcentral describes it as "partial 16S ribosomal RNA". It matches the Rfam family "Bacterial small subunit ribosomal RNA", at positions 29 to 507 of the family's 1533-position model. The record is from RNAcentral.